CUUUAAUUUCCUUAUUAUGGAUUUGGGAUUCUCUGCAACUCUUAACCCAAAACUGAGAAAAAACAAUUGUUUUCUUUUGCUUUUAAAAACACUUCAUUUCGUGUUUUGGCCAUUGCCUGCCUGCCUCCUCUCAAAACUCAAAAGCCAGCCCUGUCCUUUCUUUUCUGUUCCUCUUUUUUAGGGUUUCUACUUGUUAAGAAGAGAAGCCUUGGGAAAAGUGGCAUUGUUUUUUUUCAACAAAUGGCUUUCUCUUCUCUCCUUAGAUCUAUGCCCACCGUUUCUCUUUCACGCGCCGCUGACUUCUCUUCUUCCUCCUCCGAUCGUCUCAAGGUCCGAUUUUCGUCCUCUGUUUUUGCCUUCGAUUUUUAGAAGCUCCGUUUGGUUGUUGUUGACUGAACUGAGCUUGGAAUCUCAGUUGCCAACAGUAUUCAACCCAUCAAAGCCACUGCUACAGAGUUGCCACCCAUAGUUCAAAAAACACGGAGCAGUGGGAGCACAAAGAUUGGAAUCAAUGGUUUUUGGACUCUGAUACAACACGUGAAAUGAGGGUUUAUAAUAAGAGGCAUGGGAAGAAGCACCAGGGAAUCAAUUGUGAUAAAGGGAGCAGCUCAAGUGUGAAGAGAAGCAAAAAGGUAGAAUAAACAGGUGGCGACAGAUAAGUGGCUGAGAAUGGAAUUCUGUUAGGGAAGGAAGUGAAUAAAAGGGAGCAGUAGAGGUUCAAAAGGCAUCAAGGGAGAAUAGAGUAAAAGGGGAGGUAGCUGGCCCUCGAAGUCCAGCGUAGCAGUUCCAUUUAUUUUCUUUGUUGUUUGUUAAUUGAAUUCUGGUGUUGAGAAGUGUCCAUACAUGAAUGUAAAUCUGACUUUACCAGGAAAUACAUACUUGAAGUUCUGAA
Pistacia vera is the source of this 892-nucleotide long non-coding RNA. RefSeq lists it as uncharacterized. The transcript has 3 exons. Lineage: Eukaryota; Viridiplantae; Streptophyta; Magnoliopsida; Sapindales; Anacardiaceae. The record is from RefSeq and is a predicted model, not a curated record.